CCUGCACUUGCCAAUGUCUCUCUCUUUUUAAUUUUGCGGAGAGGCUUCUGUUGGGAUUCUGAGUAGUGUUUUCAGGAAAGCAGUCCUCUCCUUAUUCUUUACGAUUCAAACCCAAGUUUAGUAACCUGGCUGGGAGGGGCUGCUGUGGCCAGCACAGCGUGUGGGAGGAAGCCACUGGCUGCAUGGGAAUGCCCUCAGCCUUGGGGACCCAGCUUCUCCCCCGGGAACAGGUGCUCGCAGGUGGUGGAGUCUCCUGUGCCGGGGGAUGUUGACUUCAGAGCCAGGAGCCAGAGGCACCCCCACGCCCUCCACAUGCUACUGACACAGGGCCUGCCGAGCUGGGCCCCACCUGCACCAGACACAGUGUGGUACCCCACUGAGGCCCUUCAUGUGUCGGUGGGGGCAGGCAUGAGGGGCAUUUUUGGCUUCCACUCUGACACAUCACCUGGGGUGGGAUCUGAGCCCAGGCUGAGGCUGUGGUCUGUAGGGUGACAUUUCCCAGUAGGUGAGGCAUGUGACUGCCCGGGUACCCGUGUCGCUGGGGUGGGCCAAGGUCCCACCUGUAACCUCCCACGACCCCUAAUGGGGUGAGGUCCAGGGACUGUGGGUUUGCGGUGGGUCGGGUGGGAGGACCCUCGCAUCUUCUGCCCCGUCCCAGCGCUGUGGGUGAGGGGCAGGAAGUCAGCCCAGGCAACCUCCCCCUGCUCUGGGAGGGGCUUAGGGACAGGACAGACCAUCCUGCCACCGAUGCCUUGUUCCUGAGCCUUUGCUGGGAGUCGGCCAGGGCAGGCGCUUGUGGAAGGAAGGUGUCCCUUAACCCCACUGCCUUGCCCACCGGACAGCUGGGACCUUUCCUCAGCAACCAGUGGAUGCGGACGUGAGCUGCCCUGGGUCAGUGCAGCUGGGCCGGGCCCCCGAGCCUGGGUCCACUCUGGACACUGGGCUGUGGGGCCUGUGGCUGGCCCAAAGGGAGCUGCCAGUUGACCAUGGGCUUUCUCUGGCUUUGUGAGGAACUGGACC
Molecule: long non-coding RNA, 1020 nt
Filed under: Homo sapiens (human)
Lineage: Eukaryota; Metazoa; Chordata; Mammalia; Primates; Hominidae
Description: HSALNT0216844
Source: RNAcentral